UACGUAGGGUGCAAGCGUUACUCGGAAUUACUGGGCGUAAAGCGUGCGCAGGCGGUUGUACAAGACAGGUGUGAAAUCCCCGGGCUCAACCUGGGAACUGCACUUGUGACUGUAUGACUGGAGUACGGCAGAGGGGGAUGGAAUUCCGCGUGUAGCAGUGAAAUGCGUAGAUAUGCGGAGGAACACCGAUGGCGAAGGCAAUCCCCUGGGCCUGUACUGACGCUCAUGCACGAAAGCGUGGGGAGCAAACAGG
RNAcentral lists this ribosomal RNA (253 nucleotides) under uncultured bacterium. RNAcentral's name for it is "partial 16S ribosomal RNA". It matches the Rfam family "Bacterial small subunit ribosomal RNA", at positions 524 to 776 of the family's 1533-position model. The record is from RNAcentral.